RNAcentral lists this ribosomal RNA (809 nucleotides) under uncultured bacterium. RNAcentral describes it as "bacterial SSU rRNA". It matches the Rfam family "Bacterial small subunit ribosomal RNA", at positions 649 to 1456 of the family's 1533-position model. The record is from RNAcentral.
UNGGAGAGGAAAGUGGAAUUCCUAGUGUAGCGGUGAAAUGCGUAGAUAUUAGGAAGAACACCAGUGGCGAAGGCGACUUUCUGGACGAAAACUGACGCUGAGGCGCGAAAGCCAGGGGAGCGAACGGGAUUAGAUACCCCGGUAGUCCUGGCCGUAGACGAUGGGUACUAGGUGUAGGAGGUAUCGACCCCUUCUGUGCCGGAGUUAACGCAAUAAGUACCCCGCCUGGGGAGUACGACCGCAAGGUUGAAACUCAAAGGAAUUGACGGGGGCCCGCACAAGCGGUGGAGUAUGUGGUUUAAUUCGACGCAACGCGAAGAACCUUACCAGGUCUUGACAUUGAUGGACAGAACUAGAGAUAGUUCCUCUUCUUCGGAAGCCAGAAAACAGGUGGUGCACGGUUGUCGUCAGCUCGUGUCGUGAGAUGUUGGGUUAAGUCCCGCAACGAGCGCAACCCCUAUCUUAUGUUGCCAGCACUUUGGGUGGGGACUCAUGAGAGACUGCCGCAGACAAUGCGGAGGAAGGCGGGGAUGACGUCAAAUCAUCAUGCCCCUUAUGACCUGGGCUACACACGUACUACAAUGGGAGUUAAUAGACGGAAGCGAGAUCGCGAGAUGGAGCAAACCCGAGAAACACUCUCUCAGUUCGGAUCGUAGGCUGCAACUCGCCUACGUGAAGUCGGAAUCGCUAGUAAUCGCAGGUCAGCAUACUGCGGUGAAUACGUUCCCGGGCCUUGUACACACCGCCCGUCACACCACGAAAGUCGGAAGUGCCCAAAGCCGGUGGGGUAACCUUCGGGAGCCAGCCGU